ACUCAAAUGAAUUGACGGGGGCCCGCACAAGCGGCGGAGCAUGUUGCUUAAUUCGAGGCAACGCGAAGAACCUUACCUAGAUUGAACUACGUUGGAAAAGCUACAGAGAUGUGGUGUCCUUCGGGGUCAGCGAUAGGUGGUGCAUGGCUGUCGUCAGCUCGUGUCGUGAGAUGUUGGGUUAAGUCCCGCAACGAGCGCAACCCUUGUCCUGUGUUGCCAGCGCGUAAUGGCGGGGACUCGCAGGAGACUGCCGGGGUCAACUCGGAGGAAGGUGGGGACGACGUCAAGUCAUCAUGCCCCUUAUGUCUAGGGCUGCAAACAUGCUACAAUGGCCGGUACAACGGGCUGCGACACCGCGAGGUGAAGCGAAUCCCUGAAAGCCGGUCUCAGUUCGGAUUGGAGUCUGCAACUCGACUCCAUGAAGUCGGAGUCGCUAGUAAUCCCGGAUCAGCAACGCCGGGGUGAAUACGUUCCCGGGCCUUGUACACACCGCCCGU
RNAcentral lists this ribosomal RNA (497 nucleotides) under uncultured bacterium. Its description in RNAcentral is "partial 16S ribosomal RNA". It matches the Rfam family "Bacterial small subunit ribosomal RNA", at positions 899 to 1397 of the family's 1533-position model. The record is from RNAcentral.